Molecule: unclassified non-coding RNA, 1424 nt
Filed under: Hevea brasiliensis (rubber tree)
Lineage: Eukaryota; Viridiplantae; Streptophyta; Magnoliopsida; Malpighiales; Euphorbiaceae
Rfam family: small nucleolar RNA snoR143 (bases 78-247)
Source: RNAcentral
GCCAUUGAUACCAUACCGCCGGUAUUGUAUAAUUUGCUUAGUUUUAGUUUUCAUAUAGUAACUGUAUUCUGUUUACUUUGCACUUCGCAAUCAUAUAAGCUUCGCUAAAUUCUCAAGUUAGUGCAGUCUUACAGCGUUAGUGCGUAUAGGAAAAGCUGAAUUUAUCAGCGGCGGCCAGACAACCGUUGAGAUGAAUCCACAGAUGGGUUUCGUUUUUGCUCCUGUCUACUAAUUUCUUCUCACAUUUUGCUGUUAUUAUAUCUGUAGUUUUUUCAAUUUGAUGGUACAAUUUGGAAAUUGGGGCGAGUUAUCAGUACUCGUAUAACCCAAAGUAUCUAUAUCAUCAAGCUGUCUUUGUUGAUGUAGCAUUUGAUUUUUUCUGUUUUCCUUCGGGAAGAUGGGAGGAUUCUAUGUUGUAAUCCGAAGAUGGAGAUCUCAUAUCCUAUAGCCUUGUAGAGCGGAAUCUCUGCUAUUACUAUUUGGGAUUGACCAUGAGAUAUACAUUCAAUUCAACUUAAUUUUCAUAUCUUCAUGCCUGUGAUGAAAUCUAUUAUAAAGAACACCAUCUUUCGGGACUGAAUGGCCCUUAAGGCCUUGUUGUCAAUUCUGCAAUUCUGAGGCUUUUAUAUGUUAUAGUUUUGCUUUGCUUGAACUAUGUGUAAACUGCUUUGUGAUUUGAGAUGGAAGUGAUGAAUAUUUCCCCAGAUGAUCGAAGCUGAAAUUAUUGAGCGCUUUUAUGUAUUUUCUCCUUAUAGGAGAAAAUCCAAGCCAGAAAUUCUGAUCCAUAUACCAAUUUAUGUUUUGUCUUGCUGUUAAUUCAUAUCUUUCAGUGCAAUUAUUCCACUUCCUGUGUCAUUUUUGUUCAAUUUUAGAUGAUUUACAUUGAUUUGGUACAAGUUUUAGUUGUAUUGUAGGACUCAAAAUGCAAAAAUAAUCCACUUGUUUAAUAUUGUUUUUUUUUAUCUAGUGUUUGGGGAUUAUCCAAUGAUGGCAUGAAAUCUUUGAGACCUGAAUUUAUUGAUUUUGAUGUCAACUACAAGCAAUUCUUCUGAGGAUUUUCCCCAUUGUUUGAAUACUGUAUUCUUUUUAACUUUUUAUAUCGAUGUACAAAUGUACUUAGAAAAACUUGAUCAUGAGGUUUUAGAGAUGUCAAUAGUUGGAUCUUGCUAUUAUUUAUGGAUUCAGUCAUUUGAGAUAAAUAAAUGUCACUUUUUGUUUUAUACUUUGAUAUUUCAUUUUGAUGGUAAGACUAUUGAUAUUGGGGCGAGUUUUUUGGUACUCGUAUAAUCCGAUGUAUCCAUAUCAUCAUAGAAUAAGCUGUCUUUGUUGAUUUAGCACUUUGUUUUUUCUGUUUUCCUUUGGGAAGAUUGAAGAAUCCUGUGUUGUAAUCCGAAGAUGGCGAUCUCAUAUCCUAUAGCCUUGUG